Molecule: ribosomal RNA, 294 nt
Filed under: uncultured bacterium
Lineage: Bacteria
Description: partial 16S ribosomal RNA
Rfam family: Bacterial small subunit ribosomal RNA
Source: RNAcentral
GGAUUAGAUACCCUGGUAGUCCUAGCUGUAAACGAUGGAUACUAGGUGUUGGCCGUAUCGACCCGGUCAGUAUCGUAGCUAACGCGUUAAGUAUCCCGCCUGGGGAGUACGCACGCAAGUGUGAAACUCAAAGGAAUUGACGGGGGCCCGCACAAGCGGUGGAGUAUGUGGUUUAAUUCGAUGCAACGCGAAGAACCUUACCAGGGUUUGACAUGCCGCGAAUCAUUUAGAGAUAGAUGAGUGCCUUCGGGAGCGCGGACACAGGUGGUGCAUGGCUGUCGUCAGCUCGUGCCG